UAUUUAGUUAGUACGUACCUACAGAAGAAGCACCGGCUAACUCCGUGCCAGCAGCCGCGGUAAUACGGAGGGUGCGAGCGUUAAUCGGAAUUACUGGGCGUAAAGCGCAUGCAGGCGGCCUGUUAAGUCAGAUGUGAAAGACCCGGGGCGUUAACCUCGGAAUUGCAUUUGAAACUGGCAGGCUAGAGUCUUGUAGAGGGGGGUAGGAAUUUCAGGUGUAGCGGUGAAAUGCGUAGAGAUCUGAAGGAAUACCAGUGGCGAAGGCGGCCCCCUGGACAAAGACUGACGCUCAGAUGCGAAAGCGUGGGGAGCAAACAGGAUUAGAUACCCUGGUAG
RNAcentral lists this ribosomal RNA (336 nucleotides) under uncultured bacterium. RNAcentral describes it as "bacterial SSU rRNA". It matches the Rfam family "Bacterial small subunit ribosomal RNA", at positions 461 to 793 of the family's 1533-position model. The record is from RNAcentral.